GACGAACGCUGGCGGCGUGCUUAACACAUGCAAGUCGAACGGAAAGGCCCUGCUUUUGUGGGGUGCUCGAGUGGCGAACGGGUGAGUAACACGUGAGUAACCUGCCCUUGACUUUGGGAUAACUUCAGGAAACUGGGGCUAAUACCGGAUAGGAGCUCCUGCUGCAUGGUGGGGGUUGGAAAGUUUCGGAGGUUGGGGAUGGACUCGCGGCUUAUCAGCUUGUUGGUGGGGGAGUGGCUUACGAAGGCUUUGACGGGUAGCCGGCCUGAGAGGGUGACCGGCCACAUUGGGACUGAGAUACGGCCCAGACUCCUACGGGAGGCAGCAGUGGGGAAUAUUGCACAAUGGGCGGAAGCCUGAUGCAGCAACGCCGCGUGCGGGAUGACGGCCUUCGGGUUGUAACCCGCUUUCGCCUGUGACGAAGCGUGAGUGACGGUAAUGGGUAAAGAAGCACCGGCUAACUACGUG
RNAcentral lists this ribosomal RNA (468 nucleotides) under uncultured bacterium. RNAcentral describes it as "partial 16S ribosomal RNA". It matches the Rfam family "Bacterial small subunit ribosomal RNA", at positions 28 to 507 of the family's 1533-position model. The record is from RNAcentral.